GUCCACGCCGUAAACGAUGUCGACUAGCCGUUGGAGACCUUAGAGUCUUUAGUGGCGCAGCUAACGCAUUAAGUCGACCGCCUGGGGAGUACGGCCGCAAGGUUAAAACUCAAAUGAAUUGACGGGGGCCCGCACAAGCGGUGGAGCAUGUGGUUUAAUUCGAUGCAACGCGAAGAACCUUACCGCCCCUUGACAUCCUGGGAACUCGCUAGAGAUAGCUUGGUGCCGAAAGGAACCCAGAGACAGGUGCUGCAUGGCUGUCGU
RNAcentral lists this ribosomal RNA (264 nucleotides) under uncultured bacterium. RNAcentral's name for it is "partial 16S ribosomal RNA". It matches the Rfam family "Bacterial small subunit ribosomal RNA", at positions 793 to 1055 of the family's 1533-position model. The record is from RNAcentral.